CAGCCCUGCAGCCAGUUCCAGCUGUCAGGAGUCAGGAAGGCACUGGACAGAUCUGCCCACAGGUGCACAUCUCUCCCAUUUCAGGAAGACAGAGGAUCCUCUAAGGCAGAAACUUAAGAAGUUUCAACAAAGAAGACAACAAACAAAGAAGAGCAUCUUUGUUGCCAGUAAUUAGUCAGAACAUCUUGACAGUUCAGCCAUUUAACUGAGGAGCUCAGAUACACCAUGAACAAUUUUGCUGGAGGAAUCAUUUGGGGAAUGGGAAAAGGAAAGUGAAGUCUGGAAGUUCCAGACUCCUGCAAAGAAAGUGACUAUCAUCAAAAGGGCUGCAGAUGACAACGUUUAUCCAGCUCAUUCAAACAGAAGUCAAGACAGCCAGUAACUGCUCUGGACAGUAAUUGUAAUGGAGCCACUUCUGGUAAGUGACAAAACUGCACUGUGACAGAAGAGGGGGAUAAAGGGAAUGAAUAGUUAUACAGAUCAGAUCAAGGGAGUGACGUGGUAGGAAUGGAAGGUGAAUGUUAGAGCCAGAGUCACAGAGACAUUGGUAAUCUUUUACAUCUUGAUAUUCUGUAUUCUUACACCUCUUGCUUCCCUUUCUAGGAACCUCUUUUGAGCAGAUUUUUAGUAAGGAAGUGAGAUAACUCCUAGAUCUGUUAAACACUGUAAUAAGCCCUUACUCUUCGUUUCCAUAAGAAUGUUAUACGCUACCAUCAACAAUGAAAACUUU
RNAcentral lists this long non-coding RNA (730 nucleotides) under Parus major (Great Tit). RNAcentral's name for it is "lncRNA (ENSPMJG00000001827.1)". The record is from RNAcentral. Lineage: Eukaryota; Metazoa; Chordata; Aves; Passeriformes; Paridae.